Molecule: non-coding RNA, 110 nt
Filed under: Clostridium massiliamazoniense
Lineage: Bacteria; Bacillati; Bacillota; Clostridia; Eubacteriales; Clostridiaceae
Description: FMN riboswitch (RFN element)
Rfam family: FMN riboswitch aptamer (RFN element)
About the family: The RFN element is a highly conserved domain that is found frequently in the 5'-untranslated regions of prokaryotic mRNAs that encode for flavin mononucleotide (FMN) biosynthesis and transport proteins. This element is a metabolite-dependent riboswitch that directly binds FMN in the absence of proteins. In Bacillus subtilis, the riboswitch most likely controls gene expression by causing premature transcription termination within the 5' untranslated region of the ribDEAHT operon and precluding access to the ribosome-binding site of ypaA mRNA.
Source: RNAcentral
UAUCUUCAGGGCGGGGUGUAAGUCCCCACCGGCGGUAAAGCCCGCGAACUAGAAAUAGUGGAUUCGGUGAGAUUCCGAAGCCGACAGUUAAAGUCUGGAUGAAAGAAGAG